AGCACCACAACAGGUGGAGCCUGCGGUUUAAUCGGACUCAACGCCGGGAAACUCACCAGAUAAGACAGCUGAAUGAUAGUCGGGCUGAAGACUCUACUUGACUAGCUGAGAGGAGGUGCAUGGCCGUCGUCAGUUCGUACUGUGAAGCAUCCUGUUAAGUCAGGCAACGAGCGAGACCCACGCCAACAGUUGCCAGCUCGUCCUCCGGGAUGGUGGGGACACUGUUGGGACCGCCUCUGCUAAAGAGGAGGAAGGAAUGGGCAACGGUAGGUCAGCAUGCCCCGAAUUAUCUGGGCUACACGCGGGCUACAAUGGACAGGACAAUGGGCUCCGAUCCCGAAAGGGAAAGGCAAUCCUUUAAACCUGUUCUUAGUUCGGAUUGAGGGCUGUAACUCGCCCUCAUGAAGCUGGAAUCUCUAGUAAUCGCGUGUCAUCAUCGCGCGGUGAAUACGUCCCUGCUCCUU
This 464-nucleotide ribosomal RNA is filed under the name uncultured Methanospirillum sp. RNAcentral's name for it is "bacterial SSU rRNA". It matches the Rfam family "Archaeal small subunit ribosomal RNA", at positions 875 to 1338 of the family's 1478-position model. The record is from RNAcentral. Lineage: Archaea; Methanobacteriati; Methanobacteriota; Methanomicrobia; Methanomicrobiales; Methanospirillaceae.